This 496-nucleotide ribosomal RNA is filed under the name uncultured bacterium. RNAcentral describes it as "partial 16S ribosomal RNA". It matches the Rfam family "Bacterial small subunit ribosomal RNA", at positions 29 to 507 of the family's 1533-position model. The record is from RNAcentral.
AUGAACGCUGGCGGCGUGCCUAAUACAUGCAAGUCGAGCGCACGGACGAGAAGCUUGCUUCUCUGAUGUUAGCGGCGGACGGGUGAGUAACACGUGGAUAACCUACCUAUAAGACUGGGAUAACUUCGGGAAACCGGAGCUAAUACCGGAUAAUAUUUUGAACCGCAUGGUUCAAAAGUGAAAGACGGUCUUGCUGUCACUUAUAGAUGGAUCCGCGCUGCAUUAGCUAGUUGGUAAGGUAACGGCUUACCAAGGCAACGAUGCAUAGCCGACCUGAGGGGGUGAUCGGCCACACUGGAACUGAGACACGGUCCAGACUCCUACGGGAGGCAGCAGUAGGGAAUCUUCCGCAAUGGGCGAAAGCCUGACGGAGCAACGCCGCGUGAGUGAUGAAGGUCUUCGGAUCGUAAAACUCUGUUAUUAGGGAAGAACAUAUGUGUAAGUAACUGUGCACAUCUUGACGGUACCUAAUCAGAAAGCCACGGCUAACUACGUG